RNAcentral lists this ribosomal RNA (484 nucleotides) under uncultured bacterium. Its description in RNAcentral is "bacterial SSU rRNA". It matches the Rfam family "Bacterial small subunit ribosomal RNA", at positions 29 to 486 of the family's 1533-position model. The record is from RNAcentral.
AACUAACGCUGGCGGCGCGUCUUAAACAUGCAAGUCGAACGGUAGUCCUUGAGCUUGCUUAGGGAUGAGAGUGGCGAACGGUGAGUAACACGUGGAUAAUCUGCCUCCGGGUUGGGAUAACUGUCCGAAAGGAUAGCUAAUACCGAAUGAGAUGGCGGUUACAUAAGUAGCAGCCAUUAAAGGUGGGGACCGCAAGGCCUACUGCCUGGAGAUGAGUCCGCGGCUGAUUAGCUAGUUGGUGGGGUAACGGCCUACCAAGGCGACGAUCAGUAGCCGGCCUGAGAGGGUGAACGGCCACAUUGGGACUGAGAUACGGCCCAGACUCCUACGGGAGGCAGCAGUUAAGAAUCUUGCACAAUGGGCGCAAGCCUGAUGCAGCGACGCCGCGUGAAUGAUGAAGGCCUGGUUGUAAGUUACAGUAAGACAGGAAGAAUAAGACAAGGGGUAAAGUAAUUUACUUGUUGAGUGACGGUACCUGCCUAAG